Non-coding RNA from Sturnus vulgaris (Common starling), 1823 nucleotides. NCBI's taxonomy places the organism in Eukaryota, Metazoa, Chordata, Aves, Passeriformes, Sturnidae. The record is from RefSeq and is a predicted model, not a curated record.
CAUUCUCUAGGCUACACCAAAGUUGAUGCUCUUCAUUCAUAACUAACCAUGCUUUGUUUUAAGAGUUUCUUCUUUCCUUUUGCUACUCUGUGACAUCAAGAGUUUACUGGCAUUCUGCAAGUUUCACUACAUCUGUAGCUUACGCAGUGCAAUAUUAAUAAACAACUUUCAUGACAGGUAAGCAGAGGUUCAGAAUGACUUGCCUGUGACCACAGAAGAUGUAACUGGUAUUGAAACAUUUGCAUCCUGACAUUUGCUGCCUGUCCACCCACUAGGAAUCCAUUCAUUUCCCAAGAUAUCUAUCUCUGAAGCCUUGUUCUGCAAAGAGAGAGUUUUCUAAGAGUUCUAGUCACAUUAGUGUCCAAUCCUGUGGAAAGGAAGAAACCCUCUGUCAGUGGCCUUUGAAAUAAUGCAGUGUCAAGCCCAUUAUGAAGCUGGCAGGACUGAUGAAAUACCGCCUUGGAGUCCUACUUCAUAGCCUUUCCUGGGCUUCUCACAUCAGGAUUGUCCCUUUUUACAGGAACAAGGUUGGCUUUGUCCCACACAAACCACAGGCAUUGUCUCACUUUUGUUAUUGUAAAUAACUGACAUCACAACAGCUGAAUGAGGAGGCUGAGGUUACAGAAAAUGUUUCUUGUACUCCAAAGGGAAUUGUAAAUAAGGAGAGGGGGAAGGGGAAUCCAACCACUUCAGAAAUACACUGGAUGCCCCAGUAACCAAUUUCUUUUGAGAGAUGUAAAUACACACCACACCCAGAAAGAUUCCAUGCAGUUGUGUCAGCAGUGACCUAAUGUGAUCCCCAGCUCCUGUGGGGUAUUACAGAUGUCCACAGAGCUACAAACACCUUGUUCUUUUUUGUCCUUAUAUGCCUUAAGUGUGUUACAGAUGUGAUGCUGACUCAGCUUUAAUGAGGAAGAUUUUCUAUUUUCUUGAGAUUUACCACUUCAAAUUCCAAAAAUACAUAUCUUACUAUCUAGUCAAGAUCAAGCACAGCAAGGACCAUGAUCCUUUCACUAACAGAAAGAUGAGUUACAGAAAUUAAUCCUUUGGCAGUUUUGUCUGGCUGACAUUUGUCUCUCUCCUUUUGACUUUUAUUACCCACCAAAUUCCCAGCAAGUUAAUAAAUUUACUUAAAGUUAUGGCAGAGAAAAUAGCCUACUGGUUGCAUCACUGGAGAUGUCCUUCCCACAAAGUGUUGUUGGGAGAUCAAGAUCUCUUUUAUUUUCCAGAAGAAAGCAUUCUUUAAGAAUAACUCUAGUCUGAGGUAAAUGUAAGAAAAAGUACAGAGAGUAUGUGGUGGUGUAAUUCUUUUACUUUAAACUCAGGAGUUUUCUUACAUAGUUGGGAAUCUUUGGUUUCUGCACAUUGUGCAAUGGGUCCAGUGAUACUAGACCCAGUAAUCCUCAUGUCUUUUCCAUCCCUAUGUUGUUUGCAGGGCAUACAGAGCCCAAGCCCUUGGAAAUCUGGGCCUCACACAGUUGCUUAGCAAGUAUGUAUAGCCAUUAAAAAUGUUAUCCAAAGGCUAUACCUGCAGACUUAGGUGCUUUCUCUUGCAGGCCCAUGGCUUCACUGAGACCCACAAGCAAGAGUGGCAUACCUGAAAUAGCUGGUGAAAUAUUUCAUGCCAGGAAAACCUGGAGCGUGUUCAAGCAUUUGGUUCAGAUGAGGGCAGUGUUUUAUGGCCCAGGGUUGGGGAAUUACAGAGCUCAUGGUUAGAUUGAUUAGAUUUCUGCUGAUAAAUUGGCCAGCAUACUUCCAUCAGUGCCCGAGUCCUUUAAUUGUAAAAUCUCAUAUGCCUCUGUUGCUGUACAGGCACAGUUACU